GUGAGGAAUUUUCCGCAAUGGGCGAAAGCCUGACGGAGCAAUGCCGCGUGAAGGAUGAAGGCCUAUGGGUUGUAAACUUCUUUUCUCAGAAAAGAAUUAUGACGGUAUCUGAGGAAUAAGCAUCGGCUAACUCUGUGCCAGCAGCCGCGGUAAGACAGAGGAUGCAAGCGUUAUCCGGAAUGAUUGGGCGUAAAGCGUCUGUAGGUUGUUUAAAAAGUAUUCUGUCAAAGAUUAGGGCUUAACCCUAGAUAGGCAGAAUAAACUUUUAAGCUAGAGUUUGGUAGAGGCAGAGGGAAUUCCCGGUGGAGCGGUGAAAUGCGUAGAUAUCGGGAGGAACACCAAAGGCGAAGGCACUCUGCUGGGCCAAUACUAACACUGAGAGACGAAAGCGAGGGGAGCAAAUGCGAUUAGAUACCCGGGUAGUCC
RNAcentral lists this ribosomal RNA (426 nucleotides) under uncultured bacterium. Its description in RNAcentral is "partial 16S ribosomal RNA". It matches the Rfam family "Bacterial small subunit ribosomal RNA", at positions 354 to 796 of the family's 1533-position model. The record is from RNAcentral.